AUAGAGGUUUUCCGAAUCGUAACUCUUUGUCAAGGAAGACCAGUGCCAGAUCGAAUAGGCUGCACUACAGUACCUGACCAAGAAAGCACGCUACUACGUCCAGCAGCGCGUUAUAGUAGGUGGCAAGCUUGUCGGAAUUAUGGCGUAAAGGCGCUGCAGGCUGUUCUCUUAGUCUGAUGUGAACAGCCCCACGGCUUACCCGUGGAGGGUCAUUGAAACUGGAAGACUUGAGUCACAGAAGAGGAAGAGUGGAAAUUCCACGGUGUAGCGGUGGAAAUGCGUAGGAGAUGUGGAGGACCACCAGUGGCGAAGGGCGACUCUCUGUCCUGUAACUGACGCUGAGGUGCGAAAGCGUGGGGAAGCGAACAGGAUUAGAUACCCUGGUAGUCCACGCCGUAAACGAUGAGUGCUAGGUGUUAGGGGGUUUCCGCCCCUUUAGUGCUGAAGUUAAGGCAUUAAGCAUUCCGCCUGGGGAGUACGGCGGCAAGGCUGAAAUUCAAAGGAAUUGACGGGGGCCCGCCCAAGCGUUGGAGCAUUUGGUUUAAUUGGAAGCAACGGGAAGACCCUUACCAGUUCUGGACAUCUUCUGCCAAUCCUAGAGAUAGGAUUUUCCUUUGGGGGACAGAGUGACAGGUGGUGCAUGGUUGUGGUCAGCUGGGGUCGGGAGAUGUUGGGUUAAGUCCCGCAACGAGCGCAACCCUUGAUUUUAGUUGCCACCAUUUAGUUGGCCAUUUUAAGGUGACUCCCGGUGCCAACCCGGAGGAAGGUGGGGAGGAGGUCAAUUCUUCAUCCCCUUUAUGCCUUGGGUUCCACACGUGUUCCAAUGGAUGGACCAAAGGGCAGGGAAGCCCAGAGGUCAAGCAAUUCCCAUAAAACCUUUUUCAGUUGGGAUGCCAGGUUGCAAUUGGCUGGCAGGAAGCGGGAAUCGUUGGUAAUGGGGGAUCACCAUGCCGCGGGGAAUAGGUUCCCGGCCUUGGUCCCCCCCCCCGGUCCCCCCAGGGGAUUUGGUACCACCGGAAGUGGGGAGGUACCUUUAUGAGCCAGCCGCCGAAGGUGACCGAUUGU
RNAcentral lists this ribosomal RNA (1065 nucleotides) under Virgibacillus salarius. RNAcentral describes it as "bacterial SSU rRNA". It matches the Rfam family "Bacterial small subunit ribosomal RNA", at positions 407 to 1475 of the family's 1533-position model. The record is from RNAcentral. Lineage: Bacteria; Bacillati; Bacillota; Bacilli; Caryophanales; Bacillaceae.